Molecule: long non-coding RNA, 210 nt
Filed under: Amborella trichopoda
Lineage: Eukaryota; Viridiplantae; Streptophyta; Magnoliopsida; Amborellales; Amborellaceae
Description: long non-coding RNA (ATRI_LNC000420)
Source: RNAcentral
AAUGAGUUUCUUAUUUCUUAAUGGAUUGCCCAAAUUAGCAAAUUCGCAUUCUUCGUGGCAUCAAUAUUCACGGUUGUUUAACAAUUUGUUAUUGUAUGGGGUGUUAGAUAUUUGGAAAAAGUUUAUAUAAGGUGUCAACCUUAUACCUUAGAGGUACGGUGCUCAUAAAAAACCACUCUGAAAAAGGUCAUUUUGUUACUUGAAAAUUCU